RNAcentral lists this ribosomal RNA (1950 nucleotides) under Triticum aestivum (bread wheat). Its description in RNAcentral is "partial small subunit ribosomal RNA". The record is from RNAcentral. Lineage: Eukaryota; Viridiplantae; Streptophyta; Magnoliopsida; Poales; Poaceae.
AUGCACAUGGCCAGGCCGGCGGUGAAGACGCUCACCGCCGGGCCACCGGAAGCCAAGGGCGAGUUCAUCCGUCUCUGCUCAAGCGGCCGCCUCAAGGAUGCCCUCCACCACCCCUUCCGGAACGUCCUCUGGUCGGACCCUACCCUCUUCGCCCACGUCUGCCGGGCCUGCCGCGCCAUCCCGCUCCUCCGCCAGCUCCACGCCUUUGCCGCCACCUCUGGCGCCGCCGCCGACCGCUUCACCACCAACAACCUCAUGCUCGCCUACGCGGACCUCGGCGACCUCCCCACUGCGUGCAGCCUGUUCGAGAGAAUUCCGAAGCUGAACGUCAUGUCCUGGAACAUUCUGAUUGGGGGUUACAUCAAGAACGGCGACCUUGGAAGCGCUCGGAAGCUGUUUGACGAAAUGCCCACGAGGAAUGUCGCCACCUGGAAUGCCAUGGUCGCUGGGCUCACCAAUGCAGGGCUUGACGAGGAUAGCCUGGGGUUCUUCCUGGCCAUGCGAAGGGAGGGAUUGCAUCCUGAUGAGUUUGGCCUUGGGAGCGUGUUCAGGUGCUGUGCCGGCCUCUCCGAUCUUGUCUCUGGGCGCCAGGUCCAUGCAUAUGUUGUCAGGUGUGGGAUGGACAUUGACAUGUGUGUUGGGAACUCGUUGGCUCACAUGUACAUGCGCUGUGGGUGCCUUGCAGAAGGAGAGGCCGUUCUCAAAGCUCUUCCUUCUCUUACAGUUGUGUCAUUCAAUACCACAAUCGCUGGUAGGGCGCAGCAUGGAGAUUCUGAGGGAGCAUUGGUGUAUUUCUCCAUGAUGAGAGGUAUUGGGCUAGCGGCUGACGUGGUCACAUUCGUCAGUAUUAUUACCUGCUGCUCAGACUUGGCAGCUCUCGCACAAGGUCAGCAAGUUCAUGCACAGGUUAUCAAGGCUGGAGUUGACAAGGUUGUUCCAGUCAUUACUUGCCUUGUGCAUAUGUACUCUCGAUGUGGAUGCUUGGGUGACUCGGAAAGAGUUUAUUCUGGUUAUUGUGGAUCAGAUCUUUUUCUUCUCAGUGCAAUGAUCUCAGCUUGUGGGUUCCAUGGGCAAGGACAUAAAGCAGUUGAGCUGUUUAAACAGAUGAUGAAUGCAGGGGCAAGACCUAAUGAGGUUACUUUCUUGUCCCUGCUAUAUGCGUGCAGCCAUAGUGGUCUUAAAGAUGAAGGCUUGGAGUUCUUUGAGCUUAUGACCAAGACUUAUGGAUUGCAACCAAGUGUGAAACACUACACUUGUAUCGUGGAUCUUCUUGGGCGAUCAGGUUGUCUGGAUGAAGCAGAGGCCCUUAUCUGUUCAAUGCCUGUACGUGCUGACGGGGUCAUAUGGAAGACACUGCUAUCUGCUUGUAAGACCCAGAAGAAUUUUGACAUGGCCGAGCGGAUAGCAGAGCGAGUCAUUGAGUUUGACCCUCGAGAUUCUGCACCUUAUGUUCUGCUAUCAAAUAUUCGAGCUACCAGCAGGAGAUGGGGAGAUGUCAGUGAGCUAAGGAAAAACAUGAGGGAGAAGAACGUGAGAAAGGAACCGGGUGUCAGCUGGGUAGAGCUUAAGGGUCAGGUGCAUCAGUUUUGCACAGGAGAUAAAUCUCAUCCAAGACAAGGAGAGAUCGAUGAGUACUUGGAAGAAAUGAUGGCCAAGAUCAGGCAAUGUGGAUAUGCACCAGACAUGAGCAUGGUGUUCCAUGAUAUGGAGGAUGAGGAGAAAGAGGUUAGUUUAACUCACCACAGCGAGAAAUUGGCGAUAGCAUUUGCGUUUCUGAGUUUACCUGAAGGAGUUUCUAUCCGAAUAAUGAAGAAUCUACGUGUGUGCGAUGACUGCCAUGUUGCUAUCAAGUUGAUGUCCCAGGUCACUGGCCGAGAGAUUGUGGUCAGAGAUGUAAGCCGCUUUCACCAUUUCAGAGAUGGCAAAUGCUCCUGUGGAGAUUAUUGGUGA